AGUGAACGCUGGCGGCGUGCUUAACACAUGCAAGUCGAACGAGAACGGAUUAUAGCUUGCUAUAAUUGUCAGCUAAGUGGCGCACGGGUGAGUAAUAUAUAGUUAACCUGCCCUCAAGAAAGGAAUAACAGUUGGAAACGACUGCUAAUGCCCUAUAUGCCUUUAAUACAUAAGUAUGCAAGGGAAACGCUUUAGUGCUUGAGGAUGGGACUGUAUGGUAUCAGUUAGUUGGUGGGGUAAUGGCUCACCAAGACUAUGACGCCUAACUGGUUUGAGAGGAUGAUCAGUCACACUGGAACUGAGACACGGUCCAGACUCCUACGGGAGGCAGCAGUGGGGAAUAUUGCACAAUGGACGAAAGUCUGAUGCAGCAACGCCGCGUGGAGGAUGACACAUUUCGGUGCGUAAACUCCUUUUAUAUAGGAAGAUAAUGACGGUACUAUAUGAAUAAGCACCGGCUAACUCCGUGCCAGCAG
Molecule: ribosomal RNA, 476 nt
Filed under: uncultured bacterium
Lineage: Bacteria
Description: bacterial SSU rRNA
Rfam family: Bacterial small subunit ribosomal RNA
Source: RNAcentral